This 1179-nucleotide long non-coding RNA is filed under the name Numida meleagris (helmeted guineafowl). RNAcentral describes it as "lncRNA (ENSNMEG00000005888.1)". The record is from RNAcentral. Lineage: Eukaryota; Metazoa; Chordata; Aves; Galliformes; Numididae.
AAGCCAGCAAAUAUAACUACAAAUUAACCUGAAAUUGCUACAUGGUUUUCAUAAUUUUGCAUUAUAACUCCACAAAUCUAGAGGAAAAUAUCCAUGACAAACCAAUAUUUCCAGUUUGCCAUCUGGAGUUCAACUAAACAAAAAACUGAACCAAAUAAAACCCAUAAAUGUAUAGGACACUACUUCACUUUGGGACCACUUUUCUUCACUGCAAGACAAGGACGACAGAAACAAAACCCAGCUGAAUACGAAAACUUCCCACAAGUGCAUGCUGACCAUGGGAUGGGUCUUAAAAUGAUUCCUGGGUGUGUAAAUCAGAAGAAAUCCUAAAGCUCGUCUGUGGGGAGCAUAGCAAUGAAAGUAGCUGCCACGCUCUGCAGCCACCUAAGUUGCUAUUAGACAGGAAACUUUAAAGUUUUGCCACUAAGCAUUAUUGCCACAUUUCUUACUUAGCUUAGGAUGCAUGGUUGAUUAUUUUUUUGUACUUGCUCUCUGCUCAGGAAAAGACUAUUCCUUGUUUUGGUGCUUGUGGAUGGUAGGCACCCAUGCUUUUCAGCAGCACUCCAGAAUGGAAAUGCCUUUUCAAUACAGGCUGCUUAUGUGUUUGCGGGCUGAAAUCAAGCUCCCUACCUACGGCUGGCUCCCCAAUUCCCAGGACAAUCACACUGACACAAUUAAAUUCUCCCUCUUAUGUGACAGAACUAUACGCAACGAAAUGUUCUGCAAUCUAAUGAUUGAUAUAGACAGUCCAAAGUUGCCAGGUAGUCCGUCCCAGCUCUCCAGAAUAACUCUGAUGAUUUUUUUCCCCACUCAGUGUCAGGGAGCAGUUAUCAUCUGCUGUGCUGGGGAAAUCACUCACAGGGGCCCGUGUCUGCCAGUUACAAUGGGACAGUGGAAUCAGCACAUACAUUCAGUUGGCCUGAUAAGCCACUAACUGAUAAGCAAUUGCUAGACAAACUGUAAGCUACUUAUAUAUGAAGAUGGGGAAGUGUCCAUAGGGAAAGACAUGAGGAGCAGCUGAGAUCCCUUGGUUUGUUCAGCUCAGAGCAGGGAAGGCUGAGGGGAAGAUUCAUGGCGGCCUACAGCUCAUCAUGGCGGCCUACAGCUCAUCAUGGCGGCCUACAGCUCAUCAUGGCGGCCUACAGCUCAUCAUGGCGGCCUACAGCUCAUCAUGGCGGC